UACAAUAUGAUAUAAUAUAUAUUACAUUAUAUAUUUAAACUUGGACUUUAGUAUUUUGUUAACUGUCUGAUAUAAUACUAUUAAAUAUAAAUGAUUGUUUGGUAGCCAAAAUAUUUUUGCUAAAGGCAAAAUUUAGACAAAUCAUAGCACUGAUUUAAGGUUGUAUAUUUCUGGGUUUUAGUUUUGUAAAAUAAUAAUUAAAAAAUGAUUAAUUUCAAUUUUAUAUAUAUUUUUCUUAUUUAGCAUAAUAUUCCAUAUCUGAACUAAAAUUUGCAUUUGUCCAACAGAAAUAAUACCUCAAAAUUUAUGCUCUUUCAUUGUUUUAAAUCCAAAACAAGCAGUCAGGUAAAAUGAGGGAUCUGAGGUCACUCAUUUUCUUGUCCUCCUCUUUGCAGUCAUUGUGCUCUUGCUGUUCAUUUGGAAUUGACCCUUUCAAUCCAGGAGUCCGUAGGACCCAAGGGCUGGAGGUGGGAGCUAUGCUUAGAGGGAGCUGGAGCCAUUCUGGGCUGCGUGGACCUCAGUCCUGGAUCCGCGAUUGUAGCUGGUCAACACAUCGGGGCUGGACCCACGGUUCUGGCGUCUGCAGUGGGCUUAUCUGGAAUACAAAAUAACAGCUGUAGAAUAAGUACGUUGAUUAAUACUGACUCACAGAAACUCAGUUUUGAAGCCUUUAUUGUAUUUCUGAAGACAUGAAGAGUGCUGAAUCCCAUACCUGAAUUCCUUGGAGCAAAGGACGUUUUAGAAUUCUAAACUUUCAGGCUUCACAAAGGCAGCGCUGAGCCUGUGUUUUAUAACAAGUUGUAUAGAAAGUGUCUGGGCAGUGCUCAGGAAUGAAAUACAGUUGGUCCUCAUUAUUUGCAGAUUUGAUAUUUCUAAAUUUCCUACCUGAUAAAAUGUAUUUGUAACCACAAAAUUAACACUCACAUUAUGUUCACAGUUGUUCACAGACAUACGCAGAGCAUCAGAAAACUAAAAUACAUUGUGCACCACCUGCUGUGCUCGCAUUCCCAGCCAAGGCUAAGCCAGGCGACCUAUGCCUUCUUGUUUCAUCUCGUGCUGUGAACAGGUUUCCUUUAUAAUACCUAUUAAGAGCACUUUUUAGAUUUUUAUUUAUUUGGUUUUUAUUAUUAUUAUUUUAUAUACUUUUUGAGACGGAGCCUUGCUCUAUCACCCAGGCUGGAGUACAAUAGAUUUCAGCUCACUGCAACCUCCUCCUCCAGGUUUAAGGGUUUCUCCUGCAUCAGCCUCCCACGUAGCUGGGAUUACAGGUGCCUGCCACCACGCCUGGCUAAUUUUUAUGUUUUUAGUAGAGAUGGGGUUUCACCAUAUUGGUCAGGCUGGUCUCAAACUACUGACCUCAAAUGAUCCACCCGCCUCGGCCUUCCAAAGUGCUGGGAUUACAGGUGUGAGCCACCACACCCAACCGCAAGAGCCAUAUUUUUAAAAUUCUGCAUUUCUGUGCUUUGUUGAUGCUGAUCCUGUUUAGGAUGGCCCAGAGAUAGUGAAGAUGUGCUGUCUCCUGUCUGCGUCUCUGACCACAGAGGCCAUGAUGUGCCUUAUGGAGAAAUACAUGAGUUACAGAAGCUUCACUCUGGCUCAUAUUCCAGUACUGCUGGCAGUGAGUUCAAUGUUCAUGAACUAAAUGAGGUGUCUUCAAACAGAAACACACAUAAAAUGGGGCUAUGCAUUGAUUUCUUGAUGAAAAUGUUGAGACCCGAGGUUUUCAGGAACCUAACCUUGUAUUUCCCCUAGGAGCGAAAGUUCACUGUUCACCAAUUCAGUAUUCACAGAGACUUUAUUGAACAGAAUUACCAAGAAUAAACAGAAUUAGCUGUAUAUGGAGAUCUGCUCUGAGAAAAAUAUGAAUAUUCACGUGAUAGGAGAGAUAAUGUCUUUAAAUAGCUUUAUCUUGGUUUAGGUCAGGUUUUGCCGUUAUAGUAACGAGUCGAUUGACAAGAAGGAUACACACUGAGAAAUGCAUCGCCAGGCAGUUUCAUUAUUAUGUGAGCAUCACAGAGUGAAUUUAACCAAUCUUGAUGGUGCAGUCCACCAUCAACCUAGGCUACAGGGUAUGGCCUAUUACUCCCAGGCUAUCAGCCUAUAUGGGAUGCACUGGACCGAACACUGUAGCCAGUGGUAACGCAGUGGUAUUUGUGUAUCUAAAUAUACUUAAACAUAGGAAAGUAAAACCAUGUCACUAUAAUCUGAAGGGACACUGUCAUUUAUGUAGUCCAUAGUGGACAGAAAUGUUACACAGCACAGGACUGUAAUUAAUUUAAGGUUAAACAAGAUGCCAAAUGAAUUAAGAAAAAGAAAUUGGUUUCAAACUUUCUAAAGUUUGUAAUUGUACAUAGGGGCCGUGAUAGCUGGUGGAAGACCUUCACAGUCUCUACUUAACAAAAUAAUGUGAUGAAUUUGCUUAGCAUGUUGACAGUAUAUCUAUGAAUAAAGGUUUUGUUUCUUAAAGUUUUUAAUUAUGGAGAACAUAUUCUUACAAUUGCUUAUAUUCUUAUUUGGUUUGACAAACCUUUUUUUGUUUUCUAAGUCAUGAGAAAGUAAGUUUCAAUUGGGCACUGUUGCCUUAUCACAGAUCCCAGGAUAGUAAGGUACAAAUUACACGAGAUUUCCUAAAGCCACUUCUUGCUCUGUUAAGAGGGCAUAGGCAAAGCGCAGAGAAAUAAAAUCAACAGACACCAUUCAGAUCUCACCUAAAUUAAUAGUUACAGCUUCCCACUCCAUCAGAUCAUUCAUCAGAGCUGCUAAUGAGGAGUAAAUUAGUUGAUUUGAGCUGUACCUCCUUCUCUCUCUCUCUCUCUCUCUCUCUCUCUCCCUCCCUCCCUCCCUCCCUCCCUCCCUCCCUCCCUCCCUCCCUCCCUCUCUCUCUCUCUCUCUCUCUCUCUCUCUCUCUCUCUCUCUCUCUCUCUCUCUCUCUCUCUCCCCUGGCUCUCCCCUGGGGACAGUGCUAAUGAGAAGUGAAAUGAACAGAACCUGGCCACAGACCAGAAGAGAACCUGCAGCUGACUGGCCCCUGCUCACCUGGCUCUGAACAAUGAAAGGCUGCCUAUAAAACAGGAGGAAAAAGAGGAAAUUAUGUGCAGAUGAAUGACAACAUUUUAUUUAAAGUAAACUCCAUGUUAGGUUUACUCUAUCAAUACAUAUGUGUACAUUUUCAAAUUAAAAAUAAAACCAAGAGACAUUUCUGUAGUUGGUGUGUAUUUAGAAGUUAAGAUCUAACACUGUAUAUUUAAAAGGCAUCAGAUCUGCUUUUGGGUCUUGGUUUUGAGUAUCUUUAGUUGUGUAACAUAAUGUAAUAUAUAUUCCAUCAUACAUAUUUUAUCUACAUAUUAAUUUAAUUUAGAUAUACACA
RNAcentral lists this long non-coding RNA (3367 nucleotides) under Callithrix jacchus (white-tufted-ear marmoset). Its description in RNAcentral is "lncRNA (ENSCJAG00000077019.1)". The record is from RNAcentral. Lineage: Eukaryota; Metazoa; Chordata; Mammalia; Primates; Cebidae.